CUGCACGCCUUGUUGUCAACAACAAAUUUAAACAGCAAUCACAUACAUAAAUCAAAGUUUACUUGGGAAUUAAAAACAGGGCCUGUUUUGGAUUGGCCCUCUUGUGCAACAAAGCAGUCUCUCAAAUCUAUCUAACCUAGAAUAUAAAUUGCAUCCGAUUGUUGUACUUCCCACCCAUCAGACUUUUACCUCUUUGACAAGCUUUCCAAUUUCGUGUGAAUGUUUGUCUUUCACACAGAAGCCAAGUCAACUUCUCUCAACCGAAAGUGUGAUUGCUCAUAUACCUAAUAAUCAUUGUUUAUACGAAAACCUACUUACCUGCUUCUAUGUUAAAUGAAAAAAAUAUGCUUCCCCUUCGCUAUUUUUGAUCAAAUGACUCGUCAACAAUUAAAGGACAUCAAAUGGUUUAUGCACGAAACAUUUCUCCCUAGAGAAGUUCAAUUCCUGAAAAUCACAUUUGGCAGACUCCAUCAGACUAUUAACUUGUUUCUCUAACUUUCAAAUUUGCAUAAAAGAUUUUCUUUUACUUUGAAAGCCAAGUCAACUUCUAUCAACUGUAAGUGCAACUGCACAAAAACCCGAUGAAUCAUUGUUAAAAAAUGUCACAUCUAAAUACAUAUUGAAAUGAUUAAGCUCGGAUGCAUAGACUAUAAUAAACCUUGGUUCACAAUAUCAAUUUUCUUCCAGAAAUUAAAACCAAAAUAGGAUGCCUCUCAGCCUGGGGUUUAAGCAGGAUUCAUUGUGGAGUUGGCAUAAAGCUUCAUUUGCUAGACGCAGUUCCACAAUCAUGAAGAAAUAAAUAAUGUAAACAUUGCAU
This 817-nucleotide long non-coding RNA is filed under the name Olea europaea subsp. europaea. The record is from RNAcentral. Lineage: Eukaryota; Viridiplantae; Streptophyta; Magnoliopsida; Lamiales; Oleaceae.